Molecule: microRNA precursor, 59 nt
Filed under: Paramuricea clavata
Lineage: Eukaryota; Metazoa; Cnidaria; Anthozoa; Malacalcyonacea; Plexauridae
Source: RNAcentral
CUUCGACAGGUAAAGUGAUAAUAAACUAUUCUGAAUAGUUUAUUAUCACUUUACCUGUC